This 72-nucleotide transfer RNA is filed under the name Canis lupus familiaris (dog). It matches the Rfam family "tRNA". Rfam says of the family: Transfer RNA (tRNA) molecules are approximately 80 nucleotides in length. Their secondary structure includes four short double-helical elements and three loops (D, anti-codon, and T loops). Lineage: Eukaryota; Metazoa; Chordata; Mammalia; Carnivora; Canidae. RNAcentral also lists the same sequence under 1 other name. The record is from Rfam by way of RNAcentral.
GCCUAGUUGGCUCAGUUGGUAGAGCACGUGACUCUUGAUCUCUGGGUUGUGAGUUCAAGCCCCAUUUGGGUA